Molecule: ribosomal RNA, 523 nt
Filed under: uncultured bacterium
Lineage: Bacteria
Description: partial 16S ribosomal RNA
Rfam family: Bacterial small subunit ribosomal RNA
Source: RNAcentral
UGGGGAAUAUUGCACAAUGGGCGAAAGCCUGAUGCAGCAACGCCGCGUGAGUGAUGAAGGCCUUCGGGUUGUAAAGCUCUGUCUUUUGGGACGAUAAUGACGGUACCAAAGGAGGAAGCCACGGCUAACUACGUGCCAGCAGCCGCGGUAAUACGUAGGUGGCAAGCGUUGUCCGGAUUUACUGGGCGUAAAGGAUGCGUAGGCGGAUUUUUAAGUGAGAUGUGAAAACCCUAAGCUUAACUUGGGGACUGCAUUUCAUACUGGAAAAUCUAGAGUGCGGGAGAGGAGAAUGGAAUUCCUAGUGUAGCGGUGAAAUGCGUAGAGAUUAGGAAGAACACCAGUGGCGAAGGCGAUUCUCUGGACUGUAACUGACGCCGAGGCAUGAAAAGCGUGGGUAGCAAAACAGGAUUAGAUACCCUGGUAGUCCACGCCGUAAAACGAUGAGUACUAGGUGUAGGAGGUAUCGACCCCUUCUGUGCCGCAGUUAACACAAAUAAGUACUCCGCCUGGGAAGUACGAUCGC